CAAACACCACGGACACACUCUCAGCUGCAGAGUGAGAUAUCCAUCUGUUUCAUCAGAGUGGACCCUCGUACUAACUGUGCAAGAACAAUUUCCAACAAUGAGCUGUGGUUGGUGAUUCCUCACGUUACAUCCGGGGACACUGGAGACUAUCAGUGUGUGGCAGAGAAUGAACAUGGAGCAGUGGAGGGGUCCAUAACCAUCACUGUGGAACACAGUGGAGGAGAGAUUCUGCACGUGAUCUGAUCCUGGGAAUACGAGCUGUGAUAUUCCUUGUGGCUGUGGUUAUCACUAUCGCUGGAGUCUGUGUCUGGGAGGGACAAACAGUGAAAGGAAGUCGACAGACUGUUUAAAGCUUUUGUACAGCAACAAUCUGCACAAACAGCAAUUUCCAAGCGGACUCCCAUCAGCAGACAGAGUGCAAUGAAACAUCGGCAUGCCUGCUUCUUAAUGUACGGAGAGAAACCUGGAACGAGAGAUUCUCCUCCUUCUCCUCAGCAAGCUGAAACUUUUCCUUAUACCUGGUGCUCCCUAGUCCUGCUGUGUGGACACAUCACAACCACGGCAUUGUCUGGCUGUGUGCAGCCAACAUGGUCGAAUAGGAAUGAACAGAAAUGUGACGUUGCUAAACUCUGUUCUCUGAUUGGAAUGUGCUUUCUGAAUGCUGCACCUUUUUCAUGCUGCGAUAGAUUGUAAGAAGCAUUUGGGUUGUGAAUAAAAUUACAUUGAUUAACA
Carcharodon carcharias (great white shark) is the source of this 732-nucleotide long non-coding RNA. RefSeq lists it as uncharacterized. NCBI's taxonomy places the organism in Eukaryota, Metazoa, Chordata, Chondrichthyes, Lamniformes, Lamnidae. The transcript is spliced from 4 exons. The record is from RefSeq and is a predicted model, not a curated record.